RNAcentral lists this ribosomal RNA (445 nucleotides) under Clostridium sp. FP1. Its description in RNAcentral is "bacterial SSU rRNA". It matches the Rfam family "Bacterial small subunit ribosomal RNA", at positions 1 to 433 of the family's 1533-position model. The record is from RNAcentral. Lineage: Bacteria; Bacillati; Bacillota; Clostridia; Eubacteriales; Clostridiaceae.
UUAAAUUGAGAGUUUGAUCCUGGCUCAGGACGAACGCUGGCGGCGUGCCUAACACAUGCAAGUCGAGCGAUGAAACCCUUCGGGGUGGAUUAGCGGCGGACGGGUGAGUAACACGUGGGUAACCUGCCUCAAAGAGGGGAAUAGCCUCCCGAAAGGGAGAUUAAUACCGCAUAAUAUGUUUUAAUCGCAUGAUUGAAACAUCAAAGGAUUUUUCUUUUAGAGAAUUCCACUUUGAGAUGGACCCGCGGCGCAUUAGCUAGUUGGUGAGGUAACGGCCCACCAAGGCAACGAUGCGUAGCCGACCUGAGAGGGUGAUCGGCCACAUUGGAACUGAGACACGGUCCAGACUCCUACGGGAGGCAGCAGUGGGGAAUAUUGCGCAAUGGGGGAAACCCUGACGCAGCAACGCCGCGUGAAUGAUGAAGGCCUUCGGGUUGUAAAGUUC